Molecule: long non-coding RNA, 7103 nt
Organism: Leopardus geoffroyi (Geoffroy's cat)
Lineage: Eukaryota; Metazoa; Chordata; Mammalia; Carnivora; Felidae
Exons: 2
Source: RefSeq, a predicted model, not a curated record
GGGACUCCAAAUCCUUCAUUCACAGCCCUUGGUUGUUUGGCAUAUUCAGCUCUGAGGCCCAGCCUAUUAGCCGGCCAGGGAGGUCCUACCAGGGAGGGCCCCAGGGGCGGCCGCUGACUUGGGCCCUGAGUGUGGAGUGAAGAGAAGAGGCUGGACCUUGGAGGCUGACAGCCACGCACUCCCUUCCCCUCACAGCCGGGGCCGUAGCCGGGAGUCACCUCUCCUCAGCCACCCCAGAGACCAGAGCAAGGAUUGGUGGAAAGACCGCCAAGAAGAGUGUCCAGGAGCCUGGGAACUGAGACAGACCAGCCCUGCCCUGCCCUGCUCUGGAGAGCCCUCGACCAAUGGGGAAAGGCCCUCUUGGGGUUUUACCUGCUUCCCAGCCCACGGAGAUAUGAGGGCCAGGUCCUCUCAGGUCCCGCACGAGGGCCCUCCUAUUCUUCAGUGGCCAUCAUGAGCUCUGAAUAGAACAGGCCCAUCAGCCACAUUCCAGCAGGAAGGCUCCACCACCCUGCAGAAGGGAUAGCCCCUGAGACCUCUCCCCAUUGAGUGUCCUUGGGGAGAAGAAGGCAAUGUGGUCUGAAGCUCUUUCUGGUCUGUUUCCUCCCACCCUCCAAUCUCUAUCCUUGCACCCUCCCUACACAAGGCCUCAGUGUUUCACUGAUAGGUUUGGCUUUUUCCUGCCUCAGGGCCUUUGCACAUGCUGUUCCAGCUGCCUGUCCUGAAUGUUCACAUGACUGAUUCUCCUCUUUACCUGUUCAUAACCCCCCCCCCCAAAUUAGCCCUCCCAGUUACUUCAUGGUUUAUUUCCUACGUGACAGCAUCUCCAUCACACAUUCUCUGGUUAAUUUAUUUGGCGACUUUAAUAUUCUACAGCUCGCAAGCUCCAUAGGGUGGAGUCCAGUUGUCCUGUUUGUGGCUGGAUCCCCAGUGCCGGGCACACAGUAGGUCCUUGUUGAACGUUGCAUGAAUGCAUGGGCAAGGGCAUCGAUGAGUGCAUGGCAGGGGGUGGGGGCUGGGUCUGAAGGAGGCUGAAUGGGGCCUUGGGAAUCCAGUUGCCGAGCUGGGCCUGGGUGGGGACAGAGGUGGGCAGGUUCCAGUGGGACUCUACCCUCCUCCUUCCCCAGGCAGGCAGGCCCAGGGUGCAGGUCAAAGGGCUCCCCUGGAGGUGCCAGCAGAAAGCAGCAAGGCCAGGCGGGGGCCGGGUGGCCAGGAGCUGUUUCCCACCCCCUCAGCUGUGUCCUUAGCCAGGGUCUGUGUGGGCGGGAGGUAGGACGGGCCGCCUCCGUGGAAAAUGUCUCCUUCCGGAUGGGGCACCGCCUCCCCACCGGCUCAGUGCUGCUGGUGGAUGCUCAGACAGACCAGGGAGUGCCCCUGCCGGUGGGAGUGGGCACACCUGGGAAGACAAGGGGCUCAGGCCACUCACCAGGAGCCUUCUUCUGUCCCAUGGGCUCCUGGUGACACCUAGUGGCCAGUAUUCCUGAUGCACUGUGUCCCCAAUCCCAAAACUCCUUCCCUGGGCCUGUCCCAAAUAGCAAGGGCACCGCUGGCGUUGGUCUCCACCUACUCACAUUCUCACGGACCCGUCCCCCCAGCGGGCUCUCUGGGGCUCCCGCCCACACAGUCACUCUCACACCCUCUCUCAAGGCUCAUCCCUCCCACACAUGGUGACAAUGCUACGAGGGGCCCAAGGGGGUGUCCUUGAGACCCUCUGGGCAGAGGGCCUUCUCCAGUGCCCGCCAAGACCAGCUCCUGCCAGCCAGCCCCACCCCAUCCCCAGGUGCGUCAUGACCAGCUGGUCCACCCUGGGGAGGGAGGCGUGGAGGGCAGGGCUCAAUGACACUUUGGAUUCUCUGCCCAUCUCCUCCCACUGGGCUUCACAAACCUGGACCAGAAGCACAAGACCAAGGUCGAGGACCAGCAAGGACCCAGGAGGUUGGCACCCAGGAGGUUGGCACCCUAGCUAGAAGCCUAGGAAGAGCCAGCUCACAGGCAAGACCCACAUGAAUGAGGUGGGGAGGGGGGCAGGGGGAGACUCUUGAGGACAGUGGGCAGGGGAAAGGGGUGUGGGAGCCAGGCCAGGCCCAGGAAUGGGUACAUCCACAUCAGCCAAAAGCAACCUCAGCUGAGCCAGGGCCAAGCUGCCUGCGUCACCAAGAGGAGCCUGAGGAACUGGGGGAAAGGCCUGGUAGGCGGCCCAACCAACUGAGGCAUGGGGCACUCAUGACCCAGAGCACAGGGCAUUGCCUGGGGCCUGGGACCCCAGAGCCCCCUGGGCCUGAAAAGACCAACUUCAGGUAUGCCCUCCGCCUUCUCCAACAGCAACCAGGACAGGAGGACAAGCGUCACUUUCCCCAUUUCGCAGCUGGGGGCACUGAGACCUGGCAAACGCUAACAGAGACAGGAGCUCACUUCCCAGUCUUCUGGGGAUCAGGGUCUCUCCCUCCCUCCUCCCAGGACCCAGACGUCCCUCACCACUGUGCACGCAACCCUGACAGCUUGGACGGGGCCUUGUCCACCUGUGCACCCCUCCCUGAUCCGCCCCCCCGCCCCAACCUGGCCUCCAGUCCCUGCACGGCACUGAGGAAGCGUGCCAACAGCCAGGACACCCACAGGACAGGAUGGAGUCGCCACCCAGGGCUGAGGAGUGGUGCAAACCUGGGUCAGGGGCAUGCAGAGUUGUGGGGGGGAGAGACAAAUGAGGCAAAGUCCAGCCCAGGUCCCUGUGACCACUGCCCAUGCCCAUGCUCUGUGCCCCAAGAAUACCUCCGGAGCUGGGAGUUCAGGCUCCACAAAGGGUAGGUGCCAGAGGCUGGCCUGGAGGCCAGCCUCUUAAAGGCUCCUCCCUGGUAGGAAUCAGGGUGCCCCUCUGCCUCCCUAGUGCUUUCCCUCAGCCCCAGCUCCACUUGGAUUGGAGCAGGUCUUUCCCUGGCACUUUUGGCCGGAGAAAUUCCAAUGUCCACCUACUGCCCCUCCCCCCAUUUCUACAGGAGAAGGGGCAGAAGCUCUGGGCAGGGGGACGAGAUUCCAGGUCGCUCCCAAGCUGCUCUGCUCCAAUGGUGUAGCCCAGGAGAGGUUACCCCUUAGCAUGACCCCCUUCAGAUUUGUGGUGGUGGUGGGGUACAGGAGUCCUCCGUGAAUGAAAAUAGAAUUGAACUGAACCACAGAUUCAGUCGUGCCACCUUUUUGGAGCCGGACUCUGAUGAAGGUGGUGGAGAGGGGGCGGGGGACGGAGGAGAAACGUGGCCUGGCCGGAUACUCCCAUGGGCACUGGGACACCUGGAAGGAAAUGCUGGCCCAGCCCGUGCAGGGGAGGGGACAGCUCAGGAAGGGCUUCCCAGGAAGGACACCUCCUUCUGGAAGAGAAAGCUCCUCCAGACUUGAAUGGAGCUCCAGGGUAACCCAGAGGGAAAGAGUGAGGAAAAGACGAGAAGGGGGAGGCUGGAAUUAGGGAGCAGCAGCAGGGGUGAGGCGGGCGGAGCCUGGAGACAAUGGGGGCUGUGGUGGGGAUGGGCCAGAUGGCCCUGCAGGGGCCAGAGAGGGGGCGGUGACAGGGCCCCAGGGAGAAUUCAGAACAGUAGGUAUUAAGAGUGUGCCAGGAAGGGGCUUCUGGGCAUGGCUGCCCGCCCUGCCUUGGAUUCGAGAACCAGGUAGGUGAGAAGCUCUCAGCAGUGGCUUGCUGCUCCCAUAGGCAUUUCAGAAACGGAGGGGAAAUCGCUGGGUGCUGCGGUAAUGGGGUGCUGUAGGCAUCGGUGGUGGGGACCUGGGAUGUGAGCAGUGUUCUGCCCCGUGGCAAGAUGACCCGCAUCCCACACAACGUGCAAAUAUUCCACUGGACACUCACAUGAGUCAGGGGUUCCUAACGGGGGGUGAUUUUGCCACUUGGGGGAACUUUGGCAACGUGUGGGGACGUUUCUGAUGGUCACAACCUGGGUGGGGUUGCUACCAGCAUGUAGCAGGUGGAGGCCAGGGACGCUGCCCAACAUCUUACGGUGCAGCAGCCUGUCCCUAGCGUCGUGGCUGAGGAAUCCUGCUGUAGGUGAAAACUCUGUUAGUAUUGAUCAGAGUCUGGAAGCUACUUCCACUUUCCAACACAGAAGUUCUUAGGGAUGCAACACGCAUGAAAACCUAGCAGAGAUGGAAUCUUGUUUCAUUUGGAAAUUUACCAAGCGUUGCUCCCCGGUUUGUAAAAUCACAUCCCUAAGACGCAGUGGCCUCCGCGGGCAUCCGAGCCUGGGAGGCUGUGCCAAUCCCUGUCUGUGUCUGCAGCAGCUCUGGCUGCGAAGCUCCUGCAUCACCAGCAGCGUCUGAGUCCUCUGGAGAUCAUACCCAAGCAUUUUUCAUAAUCGAAUACACAUUAUGAAGUUAUUCAUUACUUUCCUUUUAUUUCUCCCUGGUUUCGAAGUUAGAACACGGUAUCGAUUUUUUAACUUAUGAAGGUAAGUUAUAUCGGCUGUGAAUUUUAUUUUCGCAAGAAGACAUUAUAAGAUUGGGGCCACGGAUCUGAUUGGAUUGACCAGAUUUAGGUGCUCAUGGGAGGCGGGGCAUAGGGAGGAGUUGAGGUGAGACCCCCCAGGUUCUUGCCUCAGCGGAAGAGGGAGGGUGUCCUCUGGAUAAGGGAAGGGAAGGAGGCCCAGGUGUGAAGGAAGAUCCACUUGGAAGCUGCCCAUGGGACCCUCAGCCCUGCCACAUCUCCCCCAGACAACAGCCCGUUCCUUUCCCACAGCCUGGCCAGGCUUAGCUAGGCUAACUGUGCCUCCACCCAAGGGCAGGCUGGAGCCAACUGAGGCCCUGAGAGUCCUCACUUUAUGCUCCUCUCUUCUGUAAGAUGAACCCCAAGAAAACACAGCAUCUUCAUCUUCGGAAAGAGUUCCAACAGAUGUAAGGGCCCUUGGCAAUGGUGCUGGGUAGACUGGAGGCUCCCAGCACCCCCCCGUCCCCCCAUCCCACCCCCCCCCCCCGUGACUCACAUCAGGUGUCAGCUCGGGAGCAGCAGGGCAGCAGAGACAGAUCUCAGCCCAGCCCACCCAGAGUGGCUGGUGCCUUGUGCCCAGAGGCGGUCUCAGGAGGGCGCCCAGGGGCUGAGGGUGGGCGGACCCCUCUGACAUUGAGAUUGCUUCUCUUCAGACCCUUUGGGGGGCACCCGGGACCCUGCAGGCCCUAUCAGACAGGAUCCCUGGAGAAGUGGGACCCCAUUUCUCCAGAGCAGCUCACAUCCACAACCCCAGGCAGUCAGAUCCCCCUGUUCUCCCCACCGGCCCUGGCAUCAGUCAGCGCAGGGGGCAUCCCCACAGGAGGGGGAUCUAGGUGUGUGUGUCCGGUGGGGGGGGGGGGCAGCCAAAGAGCCAUCCUGUCCAGGGCGUCACAUUCAGAUCUGUAUGGUCCCCCAGUGAUGUUCCACACGUGGCCCCCAAGCCACCCACAGGACGAAAGAUAGUCCACACCCAUGGAAUGACCUCCUGCCAUGUCCCAGGAGCUGAUGCAUUCUCAAAUGCAAGCAGUCCCAGGCGAUGUGCAGUCACACUUUUACAUCAAAAGUAUGAGUUUGUUCGAAGGGCACGCCUAGAUUGCCCCAAUUUUUUGCAACUGGUAUUGACAUUUCUUGGUGUUUUGAGACACCGGGGCCUCGAGGGGCCUUCCUGGGCACCCGCUCCACUCCAGUGGCACCCACUCCACCGCCCGCGCCUUUCCCAGGCGCACUGCCUCCCUGCCUACUGGGCAGGUGGGGCGCCUGGGCCCGCGGGGCCUGCAGAGCCCCUGCCCACCGGGCCAUGGUCGGCCUGUCAGGGCGGCUCCACUGAGCUGUGAGAAAGGCUGGGGCCCAUCAGAUAAGGCUCUGGGCCCUCCCCACGACACCGCCACCACAGGCGGCUCUCCUGCCUUGCAGUCCCUCCCCAGGCCCGCCCCAGGCAGGUGUGCUGCGCGGAAUGAAUUUCACUACAAGAUCUCUCUGGUUUCACUAUGAGUUUCCUGACCCAGGCCAGCACCCACAGGCCCGGGGGCCUCCCCUGUCUCUCUCAGGCCAGGAGGCAAGCUUCUCCACUCAGGCAGCAGCAGGAGGGAGCCUGGGCAGCCCUUGGGAAGGACUCUCUACCUCCCAGAUGACUCCAGUAGUCCCAGGAGGUUGGUCCUGGUCUGAGAAAGCCUGUUCUGCCCUCUCCAACCCCGUAGGACGCAGUCCAGCAGAGGCGUAGAUCGCUUGACAUCAGAAAGAGGCAGGCCACCGGGGUUCAAACCAGGGAUAGGGAAGCUGCCCUCUGGUGGCAUCUUUUGGAAUAGCAGGUGUCCUUGAGUGAAGGCCAGGGCCAGAGGGAUGCCCAGCAUCCUGGCUGGCCAGCAAGAUAGGUCUGGGACCGUCAGGAGGGAGAGGAGAGCCCAGUUCCAGAGCAGAGGCCCAAACCCCAACUUUUCAUGUUUCCAAACGUUCCUGGUUCCCACAGAGCCCCCACCACCACCAACAGGAGGUACACAAGGCCAUGCUUGUAAAGGGGCCAGGGAAGGACACAGGGUAACUCAGGAAGGCACAAAAGUCCCAGACUCCCCCAAAAGUCACCCCUCGCCUCCAUUUCUCUCUUCUGACCAGUGGGCCCAGGAACCCCAGGGUCGGGACAAGCCGCCCCCCAAGACAGCUGUGGGCACUGAGGGCUCAUGAGCCACUCCCCUCCCUCAACCUCACGGAUGUUAAAUGACUCAUGACUCAUUAAAUGGUCUCCCUGCCAGAUAUCACUGGGAAGGGUUGGCCCUCACCCACCCCCCCCCCACCCUCCCACCCCCCACCGUGGUUGCACUGAGCCGGGACAGUUGAGGAUGGGGAAGGGGAUUAGAUUUGCACUCUAGAGCAAUCCUGGGGUAGCAAAGAAGCUGUCGUCAGCCCUAAGGAAAGGGUGGGUGGUGGAAAGCAUCAGGUGCUUGGGGUGGUGAAGACAUUCCCCCCCCCCCCCUUGUGGGGGCAGUCUGAGCUCUGGGAGUGGAGACAGGAGGGAGUGGGUAAGGACCCUAUAAGGCAACACAUGCCCCACCAAGCAAAUCCUAUCCCACCCAGGGACCUGCCCAGGACAUGUUUAAUGUCCUAUUCUUGUUAAAGUGAAUGGAACCUACAUACA